RNAcentral lists this long non-coding RNA (598 nucleotides) under Triticum aestivum (bread wheat). RNAcentral's name for it is "long non-coding RNA (TAES_LNC022716)". Lineage: Eukaryota; Viridiplantae; Streptophyta; Magnoliopsida; Poales; Poaceae. The record is from RNAcentral.
CGGGGAAGACCAGUGACGGGCUCGUGCGGGCACCGCCGCGACAAAUCGGCCGCCGCCCCCCCUCCGUCGAUCUCAGGGCUCGCUAAGAAUGGAUCGACUGCAGCGGCUCGGGAUCUGGCGUCCGGCACAUAAUCCAGAAAGAAAAGGGGAUUCAGGACCUCAAUGGGGAACGCAAAAAAAAAAAACGAAUAUAGGCUCAUCCCGGAACGAGCGUUGCGAGUAUUACGGCAGUAUGCAUUCUCGAUACAUACCUAUGGCCGUCCGCCGGAGAGGCUCCCGGGGCGGCGAGCGUCGGCGCCAUUGAUUCGCCUCCCUGCGCCCAAUCCAUUAGAGGGUCGAGUUGAAGAACAGAGCAGGGGCGCCGUUGGGGGAGAUAAGUGAUUCGCCUUCACGGGUCCGCGUCUGUAUGCGGUGGGGAGGUAAAAGACAAUAACGUGCAGGGCCUAGCCCGUGAUGCCGUUACCCUACGACGAGUGGACGGUGACAGACACCUGCCACGGUAAUACGUAGACUAAACCUGUAUCCCCGUCGUGCAUCUCGAGGUAGACCGCAACGAUUCGACCGCCAGGAUAGCGCGGCCCCGGCGCAUAUGCUCGAA